AGUGAACGCUGGCGGUAGGCCUAACACAUGCAAGUCGAACGGCAGCACAGGAGAGCUUGCUCUCUGGGUGGCGAGUGGCGGACGGGUGAGGAAUACAUCGGAAUCUACUCUGUCGUGGGGGAUAACGUAGGGAAACUUACGCUAAUACCGCAUACGACCUACGGGUGAAAGCAGGGGAUCUUCGGACCUUGCGCGAUUGAAUGAGCCGAUGUCGGAUUAGCUAGUUGGCGGGGUAAAGGCCCACCAAGGCGACGAUCCGUAGCUGGUCUGAGAGGAUGAUCAGCCACACUGGAACUGAGACACGGGCCAGACUCCUACGGGAGGCAGCAGUGGGGAAUAUUGGACAAUGGGCGCAAGCCUGAUCCAGCCAUGCCGCGUGGGUGAAGAAGGCCUUCGGGUUGUAAAGCCCUUUUGUUGGGAAAGAAAUCCAGCUGGCUAAUACCCGGUUGGGAUGACGGUACCCAAAGAAUAAGCACCGGCUAACUUCGUGCCAGCAGCCGCCGUAA
This 506-nucleotide ribosomal RNA is filed under the name uncultured bacterium. RNAcentral's name for it is "partial 16S ribosomal RNA". It matches the Rfam family "Bacterial small subunit ribosomal RNA", at positions 29 to 523 of the family's 1533-position model. The record is from RNAcentral.